UUGUGUGGGUAGNGGGACGUCCACCAAGGCGACGAUCAGUAGCCGGCCUGAGAGGGUGAACGGCCACAUUGGGACUGAGACACGGCCCAAACUCCUACGGAAGGCAGCAG
This 110-nucleotide ribosomal RNA is filed under the name uncultured bacterium. RNAcentral describes it as "partial 16S ribosomal RNA". It matches the Rfam family "Bacterial small subunit ribosomal RNA", at positions 249 to 354 of the family's 1533-position model. The record is from RNAcentral.